This 1113-nucleotide long non-coding RNA is filed under the name Agrilus planipennis (emerald ash borer). Its description in RNAcentral is "uncharacterized LOC108738889, transcript variant X1". The record is from RNAcentral. Lineage: Eukaryota; Metazoa; Arthropoda; Insecta; Coleoptera; Buprestidae.
UUAUGCACAUUUGAGAACAUGCAGGAUAUUUAAUUUAGUUAGUCAUGAAUACUUAUAAUAGUAGUACUAAUUUGUCAACAAAGAAUCGUUACUGCAGCUUUUUGGAACUCCAUACAUCGGUGUCUUCAGAAUUUGCAUGCAACGUUUCGUCUUAGCGGAAGUACCAUUAACAUUAAAAUUUUAAGUACGGAUCUAGAUUUUUUAUUUUUUUUUUUACUUUUUUUUAAAAAAAAUGUGCUAAACGUACAUCGUAUGGUCUCUUACUUAUUCUCGACGUUACGCAGCAAUAAAACCAUCAUGAGACAGCAGUUCAGCUUUGUUCUCAAUGAAAUAAAGAAAAGACAACAGAGCACAGAGCCAAAAAAUUCUGUAACGAAAAGGAAUAUGGAUCAAAAAACUCCAAACCAACUGAAAUGUUUUCGUUGUAAUUCAUGUGGAAAACCUCUAACAUUAGGACCUGUGUCUAUUCAUGUAGACGGAAUGUUUUACUGUGAAAAAUGUAGCUCAAGAUAUGCAUAUGCAGGAAACAACUCUUUUUAUAACACCACUCUUGGUGCAGCAUUGUAUAGACAUACGUUUAAAUGUGGCAAUAAUGGGUGUAAUGAGGACAUCCCCUUGCUCCAAACCAAGAUGCACGAAGAUAACUGCAGAUUUAAACCAAUACCGUGUGUACUUUCACACUGCAAUUGGCUCAAAAGCAAAGGAGAUUUUCUUGAUCAUUUUCGCUUAAGUCACGGUCAGUUUUAUUGUAAAGAAAAUGAAAAUAUUAUGUUCGACAUUCAAGGCAAACAGAAAGAGAAAUUCGUUAUGAUUGAUAAUUAUUGCUUUAUUAAAAUGUAUACCUCUGAAGAUGGGACUACUUUAAAUUUUGCUGUUUGUAAAAUACAAAACAAUUUCGAAAGCUGUAAAAUUGAUAUAUUCGAUAAGGAUCUAAAUUAUAUGGGUAAAUAUGCUAGAAAUGCCGAAGCAUUUGAUGAAAAUUUCACAAAUUGUAAUUGUGUAGUCUCUUUUCCACAUAUUGAUAAGUUUUUUAGUACUUCAAGUGUAUUAAAUAUUCAAAUUACUUGUAAAAACAGUUAUUAACAAUAAAAUUUCCCUGAUAAAUAAUAUUUA